GAUUGUGGCUCAGCGGUAGAGCGCUUGCCUAGCACAUGAGAGGCCCUGGGUUCGACCCUCAGCGCCA
Molecule: transfer RNA, 67 nt
Filed under: Marmota monax (woodchuck)
Lineage: Eukaryota; Metazoa; Chordata; Mammalia; Rodentia; Sciuridae
Description: tRNA.Ala
Source: RNAcentral